CAGACGCACAGAGAAAUUUUGCUGUGAAAGCAAAAAAGGGCAAGUUUGGCUCCCAAACCUAAAAUCCGUGGUUCUCCUGCCUCAUCACCAUCACGUUCCCAGGACGGAAGGACAGCGCUGCCUCUCUGCCUUUCACCCCAGGACAGAUAGAGAAACUGAGGCAGAGAAGUAACUUAUUCAGUGCCCCAGAGGAAAGGAGUGUGAGAAAGUUGUCAGGACUUGCUGACCCCCUGUCCUAAACCCAAGUAACUAGUGGAGCUAAUCUGCACCUCAUCACUUGUCACUGCAAAAUUCUGAUCUAGAUGCAUGAUUUCACAAGCUGCUUUAUGGUGGCAGUUCCCUGAGCUUUACAGAGUCCCACCAAAGACAACAGAUCUUCGUAAUUUGCCUGGAGCCCACAGAGGGAAGCACAGCCCAGC
This is a long non-coding RNA of Oxyura jamaicensis (ruddy duck), 419 nucleotides long. RefSeq lists it as uncharacterized. NCBI's taxonomy places the organism in Eukaryota, Metazoa, Chordata, Aves, Anseriformes, Anatidae. The record is from RefSeq and is a predicted model, not a curated record. The transcript has 3 exons.